AGUACCCCGAGGAAAAGAAAUCAACCGAGAUUCCCCCAGUAGCGGCGAGCGAACGGGGAGGAGCCCAGAGCCUGAAUCAGCAUGUGUGUUAGUGGAAGCGUCUGGAAAGGCGCGCGAUACAGGGUGACAGCCCCGUACACAAAAGCGCAUGUGCUGUGAGCUCGAUGAGUAGGGCGGGACACGUGGUAUCCUGUCUGAAUAUGGGGGGACCAUCCUCCAAGGCUAAAUACUCCUGACUGACCGAUAGUGAACCAGUACCGUGAGGGAAAGGCGAAAAGAACCCCGGCGAGGGGAGUGAAAAAGAACCUGAAACCGUGUACGUACAAGCAGUGGGAGCCCCACCACUAAGCCAGUGGUGAACUCCACAUCCGCAUCCUUUGCUGAGGAUACGGUUAACGGAGCGAAAGCGACGUUCAACCGCAAAACAAGCAGAGGGGGCUUAGUGGUGGGGUGACUGCGUACCUUUUGUAUAAUGGGUCAGCGACUUAUAUUCUGUAGCAAGGUUAACCGAAUAGGGGAGCCGGAGGGAAACCGAGUCUUAAUUGGGCGUUAAGUUGCAGGGUAUAGACCCGAAACCCGGUGAUCUAGCCAUGGGCAGGUUGAAGGUUGGGUAACACUAACUGGAGGACCGAACCGACUAAUGUUGAAAAAUUAGCGGAUGACCUGUGGCUGGGGGUGAAAGGCCAAUCAAACCGGGAGAUAGCUGGUUCUCCCCGAAAGCUAUUUAGGUAGCGCCUCGUGAAUUCAUCUCCGGGGGUAGAGCACUGUUUCGGCUAGGGGGCCAUCCCGGCUUACCAACCCGAUGCAAACUGCGAAUACCGGAGAAUGUUAUCACGGGAGACACACGGCGGGUGCUAACGUCCGUCGUGAAGAGGGAAACAACCCAGACCGCCAGCUAAGGUCCCAAAGUCAUGGUUAAGUGGGAAACGAUGUGGGAAGGCCCAGACAGCCAGGAUGUUGGCUUAGAAGCAGCCAUCAUUUAAAGAAAGCGUAAUAGCUCACUGGUCGAGUCGGCCUGCGCGGAAGAUGUAACGGGGCUAAACCAUGCACCGAAGCUGCGGCAGCGAACGUAUCACCCAAGACAACUUUACGGAGUUGACGAUUGACGGAGCGAAGCGACGUCAAAGCGUUCAUUAAAGUCGAGUUGGCUUAGGGAUACGUUCGUUGGGUAGGGGAGCGUUCUGUAAGCCUGUGAAGGUGUGUCGUGAGGCAUGCUGGAGGUAUCAGAAGUGCGAAUGCUGACAUAAGUAACGAUAAAGCGGGUGAAAAGCCCGCUCGCCGGAAGACCAAGGGUUCCUGUCCAACGUUAAUCGGGGCAGGGUGAGUCGACCCCUAAGGCGAGGCCGAAAGGCGUAGUCGAUGGGAAACGGGUUAAUAUUCCCGUACUUGGUGUUACUGCGAAGGGGGGACGGAGAAGGCUAUGUUGGCCGGGCGACGGUUGUCCCGGUUUAAGCGUGUAGGUGUGUGUUCCAGGUAAAUCCGGUUCACUUUAACACUGAGGCGUGACGACGAGGCACUACGGUGCUGAAGCAACAAAUGCCCUGCUUCCAGGAAAAGCCUCUAAGCAUCAGGUAACACGAAAUCGUACCCCAAACCGACACAGGUGGUCAGGUAGAGAAUACCAAGGCGCUUGAGAGAACUCGGGUGAAGGAACUAGGCAAAAUGGUGCCGUAACUUCGGGAGAAGGCACGCUGACACGUAGGUGAAGUGAUUUACUCAUGGAGCUGAAGUCAGUCGAAGAUACCAGCUGGCUGCAACUGUUUAUUAAAAACACAGCACUGUGCAAACACGAAAGUGGACGUAUACGGUGUGACGCCUGCCCGGUGCCGGAA
Molecule: ribosomal RNA, 1832 nt
Filed under: Salmonella enterica subsp. enterica serovar Typhimurium
Lineage: Bacteria; Pseudomonadati; Pseudomonadota; Gammaproteobacteria; Enterobacterales; Enterobacteriaceae
Description: partial 23S ribosomal RNA
Rfam family: Bacterial large subunit ribosomal RNA
Source: RNAcentral